CCUACGGGUGGCUGCAGUGAGGAAUAUUGGUCAAUGGGCGAGAUCCUGAACCAGCCAAGUAGCGUGAGGGAUGACUGCCCUACGGGUUGUAAACUUCUUUUGUAAAGGAAUAAAGUGAGGCACGUGUGCCUUUUUGUUUGUACUUUAUGAAUAAGCAUCGGCUAACUCCGUGCCAGCAGCCGCGGUAAUAUGGAGGAUUCGAGCGUUAUCCGGUUUUAUUGGGUUUAAAGGGAGCGUAGAGGGGUUGUUAAGGCAGUUGGGAAAGUUUGCGGCUAAACCGUAAGAUUGCAAUUGAAACUGGCAGCCUUGAGUACAGUUGAGGUAGGCGGAAUGCGUGGUGUAGCGGUGAAAUGCUUAGAGAUCACGAAGAACUCCGAUUGCGAAGGCAGCCUACUAAACUGCCACUGACAUUGAGGCUCGAAAGUGUGGGUAUCAAACAGGAUUAGAUACCCGUGUAGUC
RNAcentral lists this ribosomal RNA (460 nucleotides) under uncultured bacterium. RNAcentral's name for it is "partial 16S ribosomal RNA". It matches the Rfam family "Bacterial small subunit ribosomal RNA", at positions 338 to 795 of the family's 1533-position model. The record is from RNAcentral.